GUAGCUUGCUACUUUACCUAGCGGCGGACGGGUGAGUAAUGCUUAGGAAUCUGCCUAUUAGUGGGGGACAACAUCUCGAAAGGGAUGCUAAUACCGCAUACGUCCUACGGGAGAAAGCAGGGGACCUUCGGGCCUUGCGCUAAUAGAUGAGCCUAAGUCGGAUUAGCUAGUUGGUGGGGUAAAGGCCUACCAAGGCGACGAUCUGUAGCGGGUCUGAGAGGAUGAUCCGCCACACUGGGACUGAGACACGGCCCAGACUCCUACGGGAGGCAGCAGUGGGGAAUAUUGGACAAUGGGGGGAACCCUGAUCCAGCCAUGCCGCGUGUGUGAAGAAGGCCUUUUGGUUGUAAAGCACUUUAAGCGAGGAGGAGGCUACCGAGAUUAAUACUCUUGGAUAGUGGACGUUACUCGCAGAAUAAGCACCGGCUAACUCUGUGCCAGCAGCCGCGGUAAUACAGAGGGUGCAAGCGUUAAUCGGAUUUACUGGGCGUAAAGCGCGCGUAGGUGGCCAAUUAAGUCAAAUGUGAAAUCCCCGAGCUUAACUUGGGAAUUGCAUUCGAUACUGGUUGGCUAGAGUAUGGGAGAGGAUGGUAGAAUUCCAGGUGUAGCGGUGAAAUGCGUAGAGAUCUGGAGGAAUACCGAUGGCGAAGGCAGCCAUCUGGCCUAAUACUGACACUGAGGUGCGAAAGCAUGGGGAGCAAACAGGAU
Molecule: ribosomal RNA, 708 nt
Filed under: uncultured Pseudomonadales bacterium
Lineage: Bacteria; Pseudomonadati; Pseudomonadota; Gammaproteobacteria; Pseudomonadales
Description: bacterial SSU rRNA
Rfam family: Bacterial small subunit ribosomal RNA
Source: RNAcentral